AAUUAGAUUUUAUACAGAUAAAUUUACCAUUAUAUUUAGAAGGUAGCUAGAUUCAUUUACUUAUAUCAAAAUAAAUAAUAAAACUAAAAAAAUUAAUUUCAACAACAUCAACUUACAUCAAAACAAACAGAAAAAGUAAUUGAAUUCAAUUUCAGACUGUAUGAGCUACAUCUAAAUAAAUAAAAAAAAACUACACUUCAAAAAACCUCAAACACUAAUGCACUUCAGUUAUGUUCAAUCUAGCGAUUCGUCAAUCCAAACACUCUCUUUUCCUGUUUG
This 279-nucleotide long non-coding RNA is filed under the name Ananas comosus (pineapple). Its description in RNAcentral is "long non-coding RNA (ACOM_LNC013133)". The record is from RNAcentral. Lineage: Eukaryota; Viridiplantae; Streptophyta; Magnoliopsida; Poales; Bromeliaceae.